GAGUUUGAUCCGGCUCAGGACGAACGCUGGCGGCGUGCCUAAUACAUGCAAGUAGAACGCUGAAGGAGGAGCUUGCUUCUCUGGAUGAGUUGCGAACGGGUGAGUAACGCGUAGGUAACCUGCCUGGUAGCGGGGGAUAACUAUUGGAAACGAUAGCUAAUACCGCAUAAUAUUGACUAUUGCAUGAUAGUCAGUUGAAAGGUGCAAUUGCACCACUACCAGAUGGACCUGCGUUGUAUUAGCUAGUUGGUGGGGUAACGGCUCACCAAGGCGACGAUACAUAGCCGACCUGAGAGGGUGAUCGGCCACACUGGGACUGAGACACGGCCCAGACUCCUACGGGAGGCAGCAGUAGGGAAUCUUCGGCAAUGGACGGAAGUCUGACCGAGCAACGCCGCGUGAGUGAAGAAGGUUUUCGGAUCGUAAAGCUCUGUUGUAAGAGAAGAACGAGUGUGAGAGUGGAAAGUUCACACUGUGACGGUAUCUUACCAGAAAGGGACGGCUAACUACGUGCCAGCAGCCGCGGUAAUACGUAGGUCCCGAGCGUUGUCCGGAUUUAUUGGGCGUAAAGCGAGCGCAGGCGGUUAGAUAAGUCUGAAGUUAAAGGCUGUGGCUUAACCAUAGUACGCUUUGGAAACUGUUUAACUUGAGUGCAAGAGGGGAGAGUGGAAUUCCAUGUGUAGCGGUGAAAUGCGUAGAUAUAUGGAGGAACACCGGUGGCGAAAGCGGCUCUCUGGCUUGUAACUGACGCUGAGGCUCGAAAGCGUGGGGAGCAAACAGGAUUAGAUACCCUGGUAGUCCACGCCGUAAACGAUGAGUGCUAGGUGUUAGACCCUUUCCGGGGUUUAGUGCCGUAGCUAACGCAUUAAGCACUCCGCCUGGGGAGUACGACCGCAAGGUUGAAACUCAAGGAAUUGACGGGGGCCCGCACAGCGGUGGAGCAUGGUGGUUUAAUUCGAAGCAACGCGAGAACCUUACCAGGUCUUGACAUCCCUCUGACCGCUCUUAGAGAAUAGAGUUUUCUUCAGGACAAAGGUGACAGGUGGUGCCUGGUUGUCGUUCACCUCAUGUCCUGGAAUGAUGGGUAAAUUCCCGCCACCACGCCACCCCCUAUGUGUGAGUUGUCGCUCACU
This 1133-nucleotide ribosomal RNA is filed under the name uncultured bacterium. RNAcentral describes it as "bacterial SSU rRNA". It matches the Rfam family "Bacterial small subunit ribosomal RNA", at positions 9 to 1126 of the family's 1533-position model. The record is from RNAcentral.